RNAcentral lists this ribosomal RNA (491 nucleotides) under uncultured bacterium. Its description in RNAcentral is "partial 16S ribosomal RNA". It matches the Rfam family "Bacterial small subunit ribosomal RNA", at positions 28 to 507 of the family's 1533-position model. The record is from RNAcentral.
GAUGAACGCUGUCUACAGGCUUAACACAUGCAAGUCGAGGGGAAACGACGGGGAAGCUUGCUUCCCCGGGCGUCGACCGGCGCACGGGUGAGUAACGCGUAUCCAACCUGCCUCUGACUGAGGGAUAACCCGUCGAAAGUCGGCCUAAUACCUCAUGGCAUCGUCUGCGGGCAUCCAACGACGAUUAAAGAUUUCAUCGGUCAGGGAUGGGGAUGCGUCUGAUUAGCUUGUUGGCGGGGUAACGGCCCACCAAGGCUACGAUCAGUAGGGGUUCUGAGAGGAAGGUCCCCCACAUUGGAACUGAGACACGGUCCAAACUCCUACGGGAGGCAGCAGUGAGGAAUAUUGGUCAAUGGGCGGGAGCCUGAACCAGCCAAGUAGCGUGCAGGAGGACGGCCCUAUGGGUUGUAAACUGCUUUUAGGCGGGGAUAAAGUGAGGGACGUGUCCUUCAUUGCAGGUACCGCAUGAAUAAGGACCGGCUAAUUCCGUG